This 500-nucleotide ribosomal RNA is filed under the name uncultured Gammaproteobacteria bacterium. RNAcentral's name for it is "bacterial SSU rRNA". It matches the Rfam family "Bacterial small subunit ribosomal RNA", at positions 523 to 1021 of the family's 1533-position model. Lineage: Bacteria; Pseudomonadati; Pseudomonadota; Gammaproteobacteria. The record is from RNAcentral.
CUACAGAGGGUGCGAGCGUUAAUCGGAAUUACUGGGCGUAAAGGGCGCGUAGGUUGAAAUGCAAGUUAGAUGUGAAAUUUCUGGGCUUAACCGAGAAGGGCCAUCUAAGACUGCAUAACUAGAGUGCAGGAGAGGGAAGUGGAAUUUCCGGUGUAGCGGUGAAAUGCGUAGAUAUCGGAAGGAACACCAGUGGCGAAGGCGACUUUCUGGUCUGCAACUGACACUGAGGCGCGAAAGCGUGGUUAGCGAACAGGAUUAGAUACCCUGGUAGUCCACGCUGUAAACGAUGAGUACUAGCUGUUUGUUUAUAUUUUAUAGAUGAGUAGCGCAGCAAACGCGAUAAGUACUCCGCCUGGGGAGUACGGCCGCAAGGCUAAAACUCAAAGGAAUUGACGGGGCCCGCACAAGCGGUGGAGCAUGUGGUUUAAUUCGAUGCAACGCGAAGAACCUUACCUACCCUUGACGCAUAUGGGAUUUGGCAGAGAUGCCAGAGUGCCUUC